This 274-nucleotide ribosomal RNA is filed under the name uncultured bacterium. Its description in RNAcentral is "partial 16S ribosomal RNA". It matches the Rfam family "Bacterial small subunit ribosomal RNA", at positions 523 to 796 of the family's 1533-position model. The record is from RNAcentral.
AUACGGAGGGGGCUAGCGUUGUUCGGAAUUACUGGGCGUAAAGCGCGCGUAGGCGGAUUGAUCAGUCAGGGGUGAAAUCCCGGAGCUUAACUCCGGAACUGCCUUUGAUACUGUCAAUCUUGAGUUCGAGAGAGGUGAGUGGAAUUCCUAGUGUAGAGGUGAAAUUCGUAGAUAUUAGGAAGAACACCAGUGGCGAAGGCGGCUCACUGGCUCGAUACUGACGCUGAGGUGCGAAAGCGUGGGGAGCAAACAGGAGUAGAAACCCUAGUAGUCC